This 498-nucleotide ribosomal RNA is filed under the name uncultured bacterium. RNAcentral's name for it is "partial 16S ribosomal RNA". It matches the Rfam family "Bacterial small subunit ribosomal RNA", at positions 30 to 523 of the family's 1533-position model. The record is from RNAcentral.
AUUGAACGCUGGCGGCAUGCCUUACACAUGCAAGUCGAACGGUAACAGGUCUUCGGAUGCUGACGAGUGGCGAACGGGUGAGUAAUACAUCGGAACGUGCCUAGUAGUGGGGGACAACUACUCGAAAGAGUGGCUAAUACCGCAUGAGAUCUACGGAUGAAAGCAGGGGAUCGCAAGACCUUGUGCUACUAGAGCGGCCGAUGGCAGAUUAGGUAGUUGGUGGGAUAAAAGCUUACCAAGCCGACGAUCUGUAGCUGGUCUGAGAGGACGAUCAGCCACACUGGGACUGAGACACGGCCCAGACUCCUACGGGAGGCAGCAGUGGGGAAUUUUGGACAAUGGGCGAAAGCCUGAUUCAGCAAUGCCGCGUGCAGGAUGAAGGCCUUCGGGUUGUAAACUGCUUUUGUACGGAACGAAAAGCCCCGGGUUAAUACCCUGGGGUCAUGACGGUACCGUAAGAAUAAGCACCGGCUAACUACAUGCCAGCAGCCGCGGUAA